GAGAGUAUAGCUCAGUGGUAGAGCGCAUGCUUAGCAUGCACCAGGUCCUGGGUUCAAUCCCCAGUACCUCCA
RNAcentral lists this transfer RNA (72 nucleotides) under Camelus bactrianus (Bactrian camel). It matches the Rfam family "tRNA". From Rfam's summary of the family: Transfer RNA (tRNA) molecules are approximately 80 nucleotides in length. Their secondary structure includes four short double-helical elements and three loops (D, anti-codon, and T loops). Lineage: Eukaryota; Metazoa; Chordata; Mammalia; Artiodactyla; Camelidae. RNAcentral also lists the same sequence under 2 other names. The record is from Rfam by way of RNAcentral.